Molecule: long non-coding RNA, 8654 nt
Organism: Neofelis nebulosa (Clouded leopard)
Lineage: Eukaryota; Metazoa; Chordata; Mammalia; Carnivora; Felidae
Exons: 2
Source: RefSeq, a predicted model, not a curated record
UUUUGGCAUUUUGGUAAAAGUGGUUACUGCAAAUGAUUCUUGCAUUUACUACUAAAAUGACUUUUGAAAGCCCAUUUUAAAAUACUGUCUUUUCCUAGCAGGCAUAAAUUGGGGUCAGCUAGCAGUAGGUUAUUGGUUCCUUCAGUCUGAUUUCAGUGGCUGAGAAUUUUGAGUCCAUUUUUGAAGGAAUCUGAAUUCUUCCAGGGCACAGUCAUUUUUUCCUGGCCAGUCUCUUUCCCACGCCAUUAGACUUGUGAUUUGAUUUAUUUAAUGGCAGACAGUUACUGUGUUCACUUAAAAAUCAAAGCAAAAUAGUCAUCAUAUUUUUCCAUGAGUUAUAUUUAAAUUCUGGCUACCCUCUGUCCUAUUUCUUCAGCUCAUGGGAUUAUUUUUAAAAUAGCAGUGUUUUAAGGUAUGACCACACAAUCCACCCACUUAAAGUGUACAAUUCAGUGAUUUUUAGUAUACUUUUAGUAUACUUAGUUUUAGAACAUUUCAUCACCCCAGAAAGAAACCCUUUAUUUAUUAGCAGUCGCUACCUAAUUCCCCUUAUCUUAUCCCUUUGCAACCACUGAACUAUUUUCUUUCCCUAUAGAUUUGCCUGGUCUGGGCAUUUCAUAUUAAAUGGAAUCAUAUAGUAUAUGGUCUUUGUGACUGACUUCUUUCACUUAAUUUAAUGUUUCCAAGACUCAUCUAUGUUAUAGAAUGUUAUCAGUAUUUCAUUUAUAUUUAUUGCCAGGUAAUAUUCCAUUUUCUGGAUAUACCACAUUCUAUUUAUCCAUUUGGGAUGUUUCCACUGUUUGGCAAUUGUGAUUAAUGCCGCUAUAAACAUCGUGUAUUAGUUUUUAUGCAGAUAUAUCUUUAUUAUUCUAGGGGUAGAAUUGCAGGGUUAUAUGGAAAUUCUAUGCUGAACAUUUUGAGAAACUGCCAGAAUAUUUUCAAAAACAGCUACACCAUUUUAUGUUUCCAUAGUGUAUGAGGGCUCCAAUGUCUGUAUCACUGCCAGUAAUUACUAUCCUCUCUGUUUUUUAUUAUAACCAUCUUAAUAGGUGUGAAAUGACAUCUCAUUGUGGGUUUGGUUUGAAUUUACCUAAUGACUAAUGAAUGAUGUUGAGUAUUUUUGUUUGUUUGUUGGCCAUUCCGUGUAUUAUCUCUGGAUAAAUAGAUAUUCAGAUUUCUUGGCCAUUUUUUAAUUAGGUUGUCUUUUUAUUGUUGAGUUGUGGGAGUUCUCUUAUGUAUUCUAGAUACAAGUGUCCUAUCAGAUUUAUGAUUUGCAAGUAUUUUCUCCUAUUCAGGCUGUUUUCUUUUCUACUUUCUUCAUACUACCUUUUUUUUUUUUUUCAUACUACCUUUUGAAACACAAGUUUUUCAUUUUGAUAAAGUCUAGUUGAUCUGUUUUUUCUUUUGUCACUUCUGCUUUGGUGCCAGGGCUACAAAAUCACUGCCUAAUCCAAGACCAUGAAGACUUAACACCUCUCUUCUUCUGAGGAUUUUGUAAUUUUAGCCCUUACACUUAGGUCUUUGAUUCAUUUUGAGUUACUUUUCAUACAUGAUGUGAGGUAGGGGUCCAACUUCGUUCUUUUGCACAGGAAUAUUCACUUGUUCCAGGGGCCGUUUGUUGAAAAGACUGUUCUUUCCCCACUGAAUUGUCUUGGCUCCCAGACUGCUUCUUUUUACGGCUGAUUUUAAUUCUGUGUAGAAGCAGCAAAAUACACAGACAAACAAUACCAUUACAUUUUAUUAUUUCAACUCAUUAAACACAGGCAGUAGAGAAUGGUAAGUACAUACACAUUUGGGAAUUCAAACAUUUUUGUACUUUGAGCAUAACAUGGUACUUUAAUAUCCUCUUUUUAAACAUAGUAUGUGGGGGUUUUUAGAUCUAAGAACAUUUGAUAACUGUAACUACCAGUAUUUUAUAUGAUUUAUGGUUUAUAUUUAUACUGUUACUGAAUCUUCACAAAUACUCUUCAAAGUAGAUCAUAUAGUCUUGUUGUUGUUAUUGUUGUUGCCGUCCCCAUUUGUAGAGUUAAAAACUAAGAUUCAAGAGGUGAUGUGGCUGGACUAAGCCACUAACAACAAUAGGCAAACAUGGCUUUAAGCUCAAGUCUUUGGACUGCCAAGCCAGUGCCUUCUCCCAUACCACGUAACUUCAGUUCAUUGCCAGAUAGAUUUGAGACCCCUAAAGGGUUGCCACCUAAGUGGGUUGGGCCUUUAUGUCCCCUCUUCCCAUUAAACCAGUCAUCAGGUACAGGCCCACUCGAGGAACAUGACCUUAGGUGAGGCAGGUCCCUUUGACCAAGGAGUGCAAAUCCCGGAGAAGGACUUCACUGUGAGUGAGUAGUCAGCAGCCAGCACUCUCCAUGAUAAGGGAGUGCUGUCUUGAGCCCAUGGUGAGGGCAUUUAGGCAGCACACCACAGUACCCACCACAUCCUGCAAGGUAUACCGUAGAUCUCGCCAUUUACUACACGUCAAAAUCACCAUUUGACUUUUACAAAAAUCUAGGGAGCUGGACUCCAUCCAGACUUGCUGGGUCAGAAUUUCCUGGAGUGGGGCCCAGGCACUUGUAUUUCAUAAUGGUCCACAGGUAACUCCAGGGCAAAGUCAAGACGGCUCAGUACUCACCUAGAACAGCACGUAUAGCCAGCAUAAACAUUGAUGAUCUGUGCUUUUACAGGUGACUUCUAUCUUUUGCCUUCUCAUAUACUUUUUUUUUUUUUUUUAAGAAAGUUACUGUGGCAUCUGUUUCUGAGAUAACUUAAAAUCGGCUUGUUUACAGUUAAACGUAACCGCAUACACCAAGAUUUCUUGCAUCAUGCCAGUCUCUCAAUUCUGUGGGUCAAUUUAUGUCUAAUUUACAAAAUUAAAUUAUUCUGUUAACUCUUGCAUUUCAUUGAUGCAGGAGUAUCCGCUUUAUCUAUAAAGCGCAUUUGACAAAAGAGAAAAAUAUUUUUUUUCAUGAAAUUGAUAUAAGUCGCAGAAAUCCAUUAAGUUGACAAAUGAGCUCACUGGGCCGAGCAGUGAGUGGUGAAUAUUGUAACAGUGAUCAGUUAAUAAGGAGACUGGGCUGAAUCUCAGCUUCACUCAUCUGAGUUAUUAGUUCCCUACAGUACAUGUGUUAAUAAGUACCUACAAGAUUUGUUUUCAAAGGCUUUGGGAGCCCGAAAGAACAUUUUUCUUUACCGUAUUAAUUUGUCUUUACAAAUCUGGACUUCUUCUAAAAUCACAGUAUUUCAGGACUGUAAAGAACUUGCAGUUAUUUUCUGAUUGACUAUUUCCCAGUGAUCCUAUGAGCUGCUUCUGAAAGGAAUGGGGAUCUGUAGUGAGAGAGCAUUGUAGGGUAGCAUCUGCUGCAGAUUGUAUCUCACACUUGGAAGUUCACAGAGCACGUUAAAGAUGCAAUUUCAAGCCUACUCUGUAGAAAACGAGCAGUGAGUCCGUUGAAUUGCAUAUUAACUGUGUGUUAUUUAGCUCUGAUGUCUCAGUGGUCUCCCUUUCUUUGACAGUCACAUUUUAAAGGGUAUGGAUGUUGCACAUAAAAUUUUUCGUGGCUAUUCAUAUGUAUCCUGGAAAUAUAUUUUACAUUUCCCCCCUUCUCUGUAUCUCCACAUUAUUGUUCAUCUCCUGUGUUCAUUGUAGCUAUAGAAUAUAUUUUCAUUUAAUAAUUUCAAGUCUGUAACCUUGUAUUCUUAGGAAAGGGAGGGGUGGGAUUAAAAGGCUCAUCUUGCAGCCUGCCUGCAAUGGGGCUCCCUGCUUUCACUGAGGGCCAUGGUGUACCAUGCCCAAGUUCACCCCCUUUCUUCCUUCAUUGACUUCUCUGUGCUCCACUCUUCUGAGACUCCGAACUACCCUGCCAAGGUCACAUGCCUAGCAACAAGUAUAAUUUUGGCUGUUGGAAAAAGAAUAGAAUAAAGCACAAAGCAGAUGGAGGGAAAUGACAGUCAGCAUUCAGCCAGGCCUGACCAAGGAACACAGGCUCUCUUCCAGGUCCCUCCCACCCUGGAAAGAUCAGAGUCUUUGAAUUGCCAACUCCCUCAACUGAGCUGAGACUUUAUUUUUCUGCCAGUGCUGGACUCCAGGGAACACCAAUUCCCUGUUGUGAGUUCUCUGCUUUCCUCACUUCCUCCUGGUUCCUUCUCAACAGCCAUAAUUCUUUGCAGAAAUAGGUUUUUACAAAGCUUUCACGCUCUGAUCCAUGACCUAGAGCCUCAGAACAUUGCUCAUUCCAUGGUGAACUGAGAGUAGCUAUGGGAAUCUCUGCAGAAAUCAAAAGAUCUGCUCUAAUUAGUAAAACUGUCUUGGCUCCCAACCCGCUGGAAGCCCGUCUUUAACAACUCAAAUCUGACUGGAGGUCAGGGAGAAGAAAUCAUUAUCCGUUGUCUAAAGUCAACGGGUUUAUGCCAUAUUUGAAGAAGCCAAGAGAAAGAGCUGGAACUGACUGAUCCAGGUAGAAAUUUUACGUGCCCUGAAUGAAUUGUUUCUGAGGAUGAAACCGUUUUGCUUACGGAAACUUGACAUGCAUAAUCCUGCUGCCUUGACAAACAGGAAGCGAGGGAGUGCAUUUUGCACAGUUAUCAACAGAGUUGAUACAUACAGUGAAGACAGGCAAUGGAUUUAACGCCUCAGCAUUUUCAUAUUAAACUGCAGUGAGAGAUACAAUUUUACACUACAUUGAAAAAUACCCAAUUUUGAAAACUGUUCAAAUUCUUCAUGCUUCCUCUAACUGUAGAGUAGUGCCAGAUAGUGCUUACAGUUUGCCCAUGAGUGAGUGGUAUGGAAAAUGUUCCUCUGGGGAAUCUGAAAUUAUUUGGGGACCAGAUGUCUUGGGACUUGGCUUCUUUUCAACUCUGUUGUCUCCAGGUAUGUGACCUUUUGAGCAUGUCCGUUUACCUUUCGGACGCUCUGUUCUUUUCACUAACAAAGAAAACAAUACCUGUUCUGCCCAGCUUUGAAAACCAUAGCACAUCAAUUUGUGGAAGAAACUCUUACAUUAUUUCCAGGAAAUUCAUCUUCUGGAAAUAUGCUAGCUCACCGUACAGUUGAACAAGGAUCUAGAAGCACUAUAUUCAAAUCAGCUGUUUCAGAAAUACUAUUUAUGGUAGAAACAGAAAUGUUUUAAUUAAAGAGAUGUUUAAAGUGACUUAUUUUAAAUUGUUAGAUAGCAACUGCUGGACAGGUAAGCUUUACUUUGGUUUUCUACCUCUGGUGCUUCAUUAUUGACGCAAUAAACUUCCUCCCCCAGAUAUAAAAUAAGGCACUCAGUAGCAUAACAUGAAUUCAGCUCUGCUUUGUUUUAAUUUUAGGUACUAUUUCUUUAUUACUCUUUGAAGGCGUGCAGGCUUUCUCAUUGAAAUCAGUGGUUGUACAUUGAAUUAACGAUGUUACCCAGUAAUUCUUGAGUCUCUCUACAUCGGAGGUACUUUACAUGCAUUGCUUCAUUUAAUUCACACACCUACCUUAUGAAGUGGAUGUGUAAGCUUUCCCAUUCUACAGAUGAGGCAGUGGAGCCCAGUGAAGUGAGGUAACCCGCGUGAAUCCAUCACACAGCUGUCGAUGAGUGGAACAGAGACUGAGACUGUGUCUCUAGGAACUUUACCUUGUACUCUCCACCACUCAGCUACAAAGCUUCCCUCAUUUCAAGGGAAGUAGAAAUGUUCGAGUACUAAGCCUCCCAGAAAUCUAUGAGAGAAACUUUAUUUUAAAAAUAAAGAAAUCAGAUGAACGUUUAAUUUUUUUUUUUUUUACGUAAUUGCAUGAUAGAUGAAAAGUUAUUUGGCUUAAAGAAAAGUCUGCCUCCUACAAUUACCAUGUCCUAGAAUUUGUGUACCAUGCUGGGUAUGUUUCAGAAGCACUGUCUUAAAGAAAUUUAAACUGUGGUUCUAAUAAAAAGAACACAAACCAUGUAGAAUAAGUAUGCCGAUGGCUGGUUUCACAUUUUUUUUUUCUUGUAGGCUAACCUCCAAGCUUUGUAAAAUACCUGGAGGAGAGGUUACACUGGGGCAGAGAUGACAGUAAAUCAUGGCAGGAGAACAUUUGAUUUAGAUUAUUUAACUGCUUUUAUUUGAUUCCAAGAAUUAUAUAAAUGGCAAUCUCAGAAGAUAGAGAGAUGUAAAGAUUAGCACAGGGCAGAGGCCAGCAAUCAUUUUGUAGGAUCUUAUUUGGGGGCAACUGAAGGACCUGCCUGACAAAGCUUAUCAAGUUGAGAGUGAAGUCUUAGUCAGACGUGCUGGGCUAACCUUCAACGUCCUUACAGUUAAAAGCUUUUGUUUCCAAAAGAUAAGCAAUGAAAAUAAUGAUAUGUGUGUGUGUGCACAAUAUGUAUUAUGCCAUAAUCUGUAAAGUUGAACACGUAAUAUGCAAAGUCACUGCUAAAUAGGGCCAGCAUUUCUAGUGGACCAGCAGCGAUUUUAGCCAGCUGCCUCAUUUACAGAUAAGAAAACUAAAGCCUGGAAAGGGCUACUGCGCUUUAUAAGAUUUGCCAAACACACAAUAAAAUGGUUUAUGUCCCAAACCACAGAGAAGGCUAUGGAUCCAGUUGUCACAUAACCAAUGCCACUACAGUAUAAUGUUCUCUCCACAAAAAUACUACGCCCCGAGCACAGUCCUUAGUUCUGGCAGCAUUCACUGCUGCAAAAUCUACAAUGAUAGGAUUUAUACCAGCUGUUGAAGUUUAUAGCAAUGAAAUAUGAUCUAUAAAUUCCAAAUUCUCAAAAAGCAAAGCAUCUCAUCACUGGAGAAGCAUGACGAGCUCCUUAGGGGCCUUCUUACAGAUCCUGAUACCCCGCUCCAGGCAACCCUACUUCUGCCGAUGGCCCUCUGUGGUGAGGAGGGAAGUGGGGAUGAAGGAGGGAGGGGGUUUUUCCUGAGAAGAACAAGGAGGGAAAUGUAGAGGAGCGCCAUGACCAUAUACAUGGUGAAUUAGCACUCUGAUUUUAAAGGUGCAGGCAACAUUACAGCAAUCACAAAAAUGGAAAAUAUUAAAGGUCUCACACUCUCACCACCCUAAAAAUUCACUUUUUACCUAUUUCCUUUUUGUCCAUAUUAACAUACAUAUAUUUUCUGUUGAGUUGUGAUUUAUUUCCUUUUUCUGUAGCUCACCUGGAUUUUGGUUUCAAAUCCCAUUUCCACACGAUAGAACUAAAUUUAGUUUAGUCACAUCCUGAUAAAUGUGGACAAAUUCAGUGAUUCCUUGCUACUUCUGCUCCAUACACCAUCAGUCAGGUGUUUCCUGGCCUCUCCUCCCCUCUCUGCCCCGACACACCCCACCCUUGGUAUGGAUGGUAAGGGGUCCUAGAUCUUUGGGAAGAGGCUUCCAGCCCUCAGUGUCGAUGUGCCUUGGGCCCAUUCUGGAGCCUGCUGACCGUGACAUAGGGGCCUCCACCUUCUCCUUUCAGAUCUGCCUUUCCUCUGCUCCUCUGUUGCUGCCACAUCAUGUGGGCUGGUGGACCUUUCUCUGGGGUUCUCUGAGAAGCAAGAUUAUAUUUCACACUCAGAUCCUCAUGGCUCCCCUAUCCUGCUGACAGGUGAUGAGGUCUAUCCAGUUCUCCCUGGAAUUCUGCUUAAGGGUGAAGGGCAGGAUACCAUCACCCUUAUUUCUGUAUACUCUUGGCUGAGCUCAAAGGAUCUCUACCUGGUCAAUAGAAGUCGAUAUCUUGUGUCCUGUUUCCUUUGUGAGAGUGCCAUCCUGGGGGCAGUACCUGCUUCAUAUCUGUAGUCACAGGGUGGGGGAAAGGUAAUGCAUUUAAGGGACAAGUUAUUUCCUAUUUCAUGAUAUCAGCCUGCACACCUAUAAUUGUCUUGUAAUCGUAACUUUGCAUUCGGGCCAUUUUAACACAGUACUGAAGUAUUUUGCUAUUAAGUCAUGAUGGUGGUCAUUUUUAGUGGUUGCAAAAUGUUCACUCUUUGAGUGGCUAUAACAUAAUUUAGUUAACCACCCCCCCAUUAUUGGACAUUGAUUUCCAAUUUUCAGAUAUACAUAGCACUGCUGUAAGAGUUUGUGAGUUUUGAAAGAAAACUUAUUUUAACCAAAAGCCCAAGAAUACAAUUUUAUAAAAUUAUUCUGAACUGAAGUGGAUGAAAUGAUUGCUUCAUACAUGAUGGCUGGGAGCCCACUAGCUCUUACCUUGUUUUUAAGAUCAUAAGUAAUUCUGCCCAUUAGGGGCUCAGGUUCUUGCCCUAACCUGAUGCCUAUCCUUUGCACCACCCCAACUUUAUGAGGAUGCAGUGUUUCCCUGGCAGCUGAGAACUAUUGCCUUCUGGGGAUUGGAUCCAGGAAGGAGAGUGGACAUAAUAUCGAGUAGAAUUUUCUCUUCAUUGGCUUAAACUUAGCCACGAUUUUAUGGUUUGAAAUUCAAGAGCCCCUUUUUUCUACAACAGUGAAAAUCUAAGUCAUUUCUCCUAACUUGCUGAACAUAGUUUAAACGUUUCAUCAUUCAGGAAAUUGAAGAACUACUGCAUUGGAAAAAGGCAAAGACCCAGAUAGGGAGCUAAGAGAGUCCUAAGAACAAGAAAAUGUGUACCUUCUGAUUCUCACAAACUAAAUUGGCAAGAAUAUUUUAUCUGAAGAUAAAGAGUUUUAUAGGACAUUUCUCAGUAUCCUACUGAAAUCUCUAAUUGAUAUGGGUAUGAUAUGAGAUCUCCAUUUUGAGGUCUUCUC